UGGGAUCCCAUCUAUUAUAUUAAGACCUUGAGUGUACUCAACAAGCCCUAAUAUAAUAUUUGGGUAGAUACUAUUAUCAAUUGUAUCUCCAUACAACUCCCAGAUCAUUAAGCUGACAACUCUUUGUUUUCACACAUCUUAUGUGUUAGCUUAACAUGCCUCUAAAAUUUAUCUCCUUGAGUGUACUCAACAAAAGAUAAAUUUUAGUUAAGUCAAACUCAUCAUUCAGAAAUAUCAAUAUUUCAUAGUGUCAAACAUAUCCCUAAUGGACCAGCCUUGAGUGUACUCAACAAACUGAGACGAUUUAGGAUUCUCGUUUUUCACUAUAAUGAUGGAAGGUGAUUACAAAUGUGACUUAAUAUUUUAUUGAGGGGAUUUGCAUACAACUCUUAGAUCAUUAAGUUGACAACUCCUUGUCCUCACAUAUUUUAUCAUGUCUCUAAAAUCUAUCUCCUUGAGUGUACUCAACAAAAGAUAAACUUUAGUUAAGUCGGACCCAUCAUUCAGAAACAUCUGAUAUUUCAUAGUGUCAGACAUAUCCAUAAUAGAUCAGCCUUGAGUGUUCUCAACAAGCUAAGAUCGAUUUAGGACUCUGGGUUUUCACUAUAAUGAUGGAGGACGAAUGUAAAAUGUGACUUAAUAUUUUAUUGAG
Molecule: long non-coding RNA, 652 nt
Filed under: Olea europaea (common olive)
Lineage: Eukaryota; Viridiplantae; Streptophyta; Magnoliopsida; Lamiales; Oleaceae
Description: long non-coding RNA (OEUR_LNC007411)
Source: RNAcentral